GUAGAUCUGGGUGAAGGAGCCCUGGCCCAGGCUCUCACCCUGGGGGACACGGGGACAUCACCAGGGGGUUCCUGUCCCCUGGGCCACCCC
Non-coding RNA from Turdus rufiventris (rufous-bellied thrush), 90 nucleotides. The record is from the annotation of a GenBank genome assembly. NCBI's taxonomy places the organism in Eukaryota, Metazoa, Chordata, Aves, Passeriformes, Turdidae.